Molecule: ribosomal RNA, 449 nt
Filed under: uncultured bacterium
Lineage: Bacteria
Description: partial 16S ribosomal RNA
Rfam family: Bacterial small subunit ribosomal RNA
Source: RNAcentral
AAUGAACGCUGGCGGCAUGCCUAACACAUGCAAGUCGAACGAGACCUUCGGGUCUAGUGGCGCACGGGUGCGUAACGCGUGGGAGUCUACCCUUGGGUUCGGAAUAACAGUUAGAAAUGACUGCUAAUACCGGAUGAUGACGUAAGUCCAAAGAUUUAUCGCCCAAGGAUGAGCCCGCGUAAGAUUAGCUUGUUGGUGGGGUAAUGGCCUACCAAGGCGACGAUCUUUAGCUGGUCUGAGAGGAUGAUCAGCCACACUGGGACUGAGACACGGCCCAGACUCCUACGGGAGGCAGCAGGGGGGAAUUUUGGAAAAUGGGGGAAAGCCUGAUCCAGAAAUCCCGCGUGGGGGAUGAAGGCCUUAGGGUUGUAAAGCUCUUUUACCAGGGAUGAUAAGGACAGUACCUGGAGAAUAAGCUCCGGCUAACUCCGUGCCAGCAGCCGCCGUAA